AACUGUUAAGUUAUAGAAAUGAGGAAGGAGAAGACCAGAAGGGGAAGACAGUCUGUCAAGACUUCCGCAAAAUGCUGACGUUCCUGGAUUUUAGAACCAUAAAGAUCUAUUAGUAAGCUUGCUAAGAACUGAAAGCUUAAGUUUUCUGUGCGUCACAUUGAGAAAUGCAAAUGCCUGGGACCCGCCAGUGUAAUAACUAACUGUACCACUUGUUACUGCCUUUCCAGGAAGCUAAAGAAGUCAUAUCCUACACACCUGGAAGUUACCUAGGAAGCAACAUUUAACCAGGAAAACAACAAACCCCUCAUCUGGAUUUUGUGGCAUUCGUGCUCCUACCUGACACUGGUUAAUAGCUGCGUGGUUGCCAUGGAAUGGAGACUGUCUUUCUUUAUCUCGAUGAUGCCGACUGCUGUGUUUACUUCUCUGCAAUUGCUGGCGUAAUUUUGCAAUCUGAAAAUGAGAAAAAUAACAA
This is a long non-coding RNA of Camelus dromedarius (Arabian camel), 472 nucleotides long. RefSeq lists it as uncharacterized. The transcript has 2 exons. The record is from RefSeq and is a predicted model, not a curated record. Lineage: Eukaryota; Metazoa; Chordata; Mammalia; Artiodactyla; Camelidae.